Molecule: long non-coding RNA, 296 nt
Organism: Fukomys damarensis (Damara mole-rat)
Lineage: Eukaryota; Metazoa; Chordata; Mammalia; Rodentia; Bathyergidae
Exons: 3
Source: RefSeq, a predicted model, not a curated record
UGGGUGACGGGGAAUAUAAACUCUGGCCCUUGGGUCAAGCUAGCUGGCUACCUAUUUUGUGAGACAUCAGUUCUACUCAGCUCCGUGAAGACCCAGUUAAAAGGAGCGGCUCAGAGUUCCCUGCCCAUUUGGGAGCCACUGGUGACUUCCCAGAGUCAGCGAGGCCUUCUCAGUUUGGGGAGUUAGGGCUCCGCAGCGCCUCCCACAGUUGACAGCCACAUGUUGUGCAGUCUGGAUGGAAAAACCCGACUCUUAUCUUUGGGUCUCCGAAGAGCUUUAACGGAUUUUUAAGAAUU